This 114-nucleotide ribosomal RNA is filed under the name Macaca nemestrina (pig-tailed macaque). The record is from RNAcentral. Lineage: Eukaryota; Metazoa; Chordata; Mammalia; Primates; Cercopithecidae.
GUCCACCACCAUGCCACCCUGAUCAGAUCUCAUCUGAUCUCGGGAGCUAAGUAGGGUCAGACCUGGUUAGUACUUGAAUGGGAGACCAUGUGGGAAUACCGGGUGCUGUAGGCU